UAGGGAAAUAGGAAUUGAACCUACAACUAAGAGAUCAAAACUCCUUGUAAUCCCAUUUUACCACUCCC
RNAcentral lists this transfer RNA (68 nucleotides) under Dendropsophus brevifrons (Crump treefrog). Its description in RNAcentral is "partial tRNA-Gln". The record is from RNAcentral. Lineage: Eukaryota; Metazoa; Chordata; Amphibia; Anura; Hylidae.